RNAcentral lists this transfer RNA (86 nucleotides) under Anaerolineaceae bacterium. Its description in RNAcentral is "tRNA-Asp". The record is from RNAcentral. Lineage: Bacteria; Bacillati; Chloroflexota; Anaerolineae; Anaerolineales; Anaerolineaceae.
AAGGAACUGGUUUUGGCAAGACGAUCCUCAUCGGGGAUCAAUUCGUUUUGGAUGAAGUGCCCGCGAUCGUUUCGGCGAUUCCCUUC